UACGGAGGGAGCUAGCGUUGUUCGGAAUUACUGGGCGUAAAGCGCCCGUAGGCGGCUUUGUAAGUUAGAGGUGAAAGCCCGGGGCUCAACCCCGGAAUUGCCUUUAAGACUGCAUCGCUUGAAUCCGGGAGAGGUGAGUGGAAUUCCGAGUGUAGAGGUGAAAUUCGUAGAUAUUCGGAAGAACACCAGUGGCGAAGGCGGCUCACUGGACCGGCAUUGACGCUGAGGUGCGAAAGCGUGGGGAGCAAACAGG
This 253-nucleotide ribosomal RNA is filed under the name uncultured bacterium. RNAcentral's name for it is "partial 16S ribosomal RNA". It matches the Rfam family "Bacterial small subunit ribosomal RNA", at positions 524 to 776 of the family's 1533-position model. The record is from RNAcentral.